This 363-nucleotide ribosomal RNA is filed under the name uncultured bacterium. Its description in RNAcentral is "partial 16S ribosomal RNA". It matches the Rfam family "Bacterial small subunit ribosomal RNA", at positions 338 to 698 of the family's 1533-position model. The record is from RNAcentral.
CCUACGGGUGGCAGCAGUGAGGAAUAUUGGUCAAUGGACGCAAGUCUGAACCAGCCAUGCCGCGUGCAGGAAGAAGGCUCUAUGAGUUGUAAACUGCUUUUGUACGGGGGUAAAUGCAGAUACGCGUAACUGUCUGAAAGUAUCGUACGAAUAAGGAUCGGCUAACUCCGUGCCAGCAGCCGCGGUAAUACGGAGGAGUCAAGCGUUGUCCGGAUGUAUUGGGGUUAAAGGGUGCGUAGGGUGUGGGAUAAGUGAGAGGUGAAAUGCCGGGGCUCAACUUGGGAAUUGCCGCUGAUACUGUUCGGCUAGAGAGUAGUUGCGGUAGGCGGAAUGUAUGGUGUAGCGGUGAAAUGCGUAGAGAUC